AUAAUAACCCUAGAGCCCAGAUACAUCUCAUUCAUACAAUGGCGGAGGCCAAUCAGACGCGAUUGUCUUCAUCCGUACAUCACAGUACGGUGACACGGAGAUAACUCAAAAAGAAACCAAGACGCAAGGUAACAAUCUGCGUCUCUCGUGACUUGGCGCAAACUCCUGUUCCAUCUUGUGAUCAUCAGCAGAAUCUGCGAUUCUCAACUUAUGAAACCCUGCUUUAUUCAUUUUUUUUCUUGCAUCUUGCAAAUAUUCUCCGUUUGGUCACCGAGAAAAAUGUAGGAAAUGAAAGAAUUCGAAUCUUUCUUUCUUCCGUUCUUCCUUUUUAAGACUUUCCAUAUUUAAUAAUCUCUGCGUGUUUGGCUACCAAAUAAAUGUAGGCAAAUGAAAUAAAUCAAAUUCUUUUUAUCGGAGAAGCUUGGAGGUUGGCGCUGAUGUCAUGCGCUAAAUGACUCGCUCCGCUGUAGAAUAUGGAUGAUGGCAAUGAUCAGAUUACUGACUUUUAACUCCUUCAAUCAUUUGCUUCAGAUGGUAUGAUGGAUUGUCUCUUAAAGAAUACCGACAGGAAAAUAUUACAUAUGAGCUGGACUCUUGUGACCCAUGCAACAAAUCAUCCAUCCUGGCUUGGACCCUCUCAAUAGAAUGCUGUUCCCUUGUAUGGGAUGCUAUGUUAGAUCACACAGUUGCACCCAAGACUAAAUGAUUAGUCUUACUCCAUUAAGUUAUAGUGUUAUACAGUACAUAAUGCUCAAAGCUAUGGUUCAGGUACGUCCGUAAGUCCUUGGUUGUUCCGGAUUCCAGUGGUGAGCUGGAAAGGGGCCAUCCAUCUCUCAGUAAUUUCAGUAGCUUUCAUGGUUGCUUUCAAUCUUGUCAAUUUAAUUCCAUCACAUCGUUUUCUUGUUGGUUCAUGAUGCUCAUUACAAAAGUGCAAAAGUGCAGAUUAGGUUCCAAAUAUACUCUUAAUCUCUUUGAGACACGGGAAAUCUGGAAGUUGUUUUUACUUUUUUAUCUCUUUGAAACAGGUCCAUGGACAAAACCCUCUGUUUUUAUUGUUUUCAUGAUGUGCUUGCUAUAGGCCUUUGGCGGUGAAGGAUUGAUUUCAUGGAAAUUGUUUGAGCAGCUGAUGUCUAGCUUUUUCAAGUAAACUGAAACAUGUUAAUUGUUGUCAGUCCAUUUUCCGGGUCUGAUGCUUUUAUGGUUUUAUGUUCAAUCAACAUCACAGCAAUAAUCGCUACUUUAUUUUGUUUUACCCGAUGAUAAAAGUCAUGUAGUUCAUGAUGUUAGACACCCUUAA
Molecule: long non-coding RNA, 1297 nt
Organism: Vitis riparia (riverbank grape)
Lineage: Eukaryota; Viridiplantae; Streptophyta; Magnoliopsida; Vitales; Vitaceae
Exons: 3
Source: RefSeq, a predicted model, not a curated record